GAUGAACGCUGGCGGCGUGCCUAAUACAUGCAAGUCGAGCGAACGGACGAGAAGCUUGCUUCUCUGAUGUUAGCGGCGGACGGGUGAGUAACACGUGGAUAACCUACCUAUAAGACUGGGAUAACUUCGGGAAACCGGAGCUAAUACCGGAUAAUAUUUUGAACCGCAUGAUUCAAAAGUGAAAGACGGUCUUGCUGUCACUUAUAGAUGGAUCCGCGCUGCAUUAGCUAGUUGGUAAGGUAACGGCUUACCAAGGCAACGAUGCAUAGCCGACCUGAGAGGGUGAUCGGCCACACUGGAACUGAGACACGGUCCAGACUCCUACGGGAGGCAGCAGUAGGGAAUCUUCCGCAAUGGGCGGAAGCCUGACGGAGCAACGCCGCGUGAGUGAUGAAGGUCUUCGGAUCGUAAAACUCUGUUAUUAGGGAAGAACAUAUGUGUAAGUAACUGUGCACAUCUUGACGGUACCUAAUCAGAAAGCCACGGCUAACUACGUG
Molecule: ribosomal RNA, 497 nt
Filed under: uncultured bacterium
Lineage: Bacteria
Description: partial 16S ribosomal RNA
Rfam family: Bacterial small subunit ribosomal RNA
Source: RNAcentral